UUAUUAGGCAUAGCAAACCACACAUUAUAAAACAAGCACCGUAUACAGAUUGUGGAAAAUACGAAUUCGGCAUAGCAAUUUGCAUAAAUAAUACAGUCUAACACUACAACAUCACCGACCAAUCAAGAACCACUAAAUCUCUCUAUAAUGGCCCAGUCUUUCCACAUGGACAGCACUCAAAAAUGUAGCCACUAUCAAAGUAAUUUGAUCAUUCCUGUUCGAUGGCAGGUCCUGAACCGUUGGCGGCAUAGAACCGAGCCUGUUAGGUUGUAAGGCCUCUAACAAUUGU
Podarcis lilfordi (Lilford's wall lizard) is the source of this 289-nucleotide non-coding RNA. Lineage: Eukaryota; Metazoa; Chordata; Lepidosauria; Squamata; Lacertidae. The record is from the annotation of a GenBank genome assembly.